This 190-nucleotide unclassified non-coding RNA is filed under the name plant metagenome. RNAcentral's name for it is "partial contains small subunit ribosomal RNA, internal transcribed spacer 1, and 5.8S ribosomal RNA". The record is from RNAcentral.
UUUCCGUAGGUGAACCUGCGGAAGGAUCAUCACUGAGUGUCGUGGGGCAGGGGCGCAAUGCCCCUGCUCCCGUAUAAACCCCGUGCGUCGCCGAGGGCCGCGUGCACUCGGCGGCGCACAUAUCACAAAACAGUCUAAUAAAAACUAUAUGUAAAUAAAACAACUUUCAACAAUGGAUCUCUUGGCUCUU